This 458-nucleotide ribosomal RNA is filed under the name uncultured crenarchaeote. RNAcentral's name for it is "bacterial SSU rRNA". It matches the Rfam family "Archaeal small subunit ribosomal RNA", at positions 407 to 864 of the family's 1478-position model. The record is from RNAcentral. Lineage: Archaea; Thermoproteati; Thermoproteota.
CUUUUGCCAGUUCUAAAAAUACUAGUGAAUAAGGGGUGGGCAAGUUCUGGUGUCAGCCGCCGCGGUAAAACCAGCACCUCAAGUGGUCAGGAGGAUUAUUGGGCCUAAAGCAUCCGUAGCCUGCUCUGUAAGUUUUCGGUUAAAUCUAUAUGCUCAACAUAUAGGCUGCUGAAAAUACUGCAGUGCUAGGAAGUGGGAGAGGUAGACGGUACUUGAUAGGAAGGGGUAAAAUCCUUUGAUCUAUCGAUGACCACCUGUGGCGAAGGCGGUCUACCAGAACACGUUCGACGGUGAGGGAUGAAAGCUGGGGGAGCAAACCGGAUUAGAUACCCGGGUAGUCCCAGCUGUAAACGAUGCAGACUCGAUGAUGCAUUGGCAUAUAGCCAGUGCAGUGUCGCAGGGAAGCCGUUAAGUCUGCCGCCUGGGAAGUACGUACGCAAGUAUGAAACUUAAAGGAA